This 492-nucleotide ribosomal RNA is filed under the name uncultured bacterium. RNAcentral's name for it is "partial 16S ribosomal RNA". It matches the Rfam family "Bacterial small subunit ribosomal RNA", at positions 30 to 507 of the family's 1533-position model. The record is from RNAcentral.
AGUGAACGCUGGCGGUAGGCCUAACACAUGCAAGUCGAACGGCAGCACCGUAAGAGCUUGCUCUUACGGGUGGCGAGUGGCGGACGGGUGAGGAAUACAUCGGAAUCUACUUUUUCGUGGGGGAUAACGUAGGUAAACUUACGCUAAUACCGCAUACGACCUACGGGUGAAAGCAGGGGAUCUUCGGACCUUGUGCGAUUGAAUGAGCCGAUGUGGGAUUAGCUGGUUGGGUGGGUAAAGGCCCAGCAAGGCGAGGAUAGGUAGCCGGACUGAGAGGAUGGUAGGCGACACGGGAAGUGGGACAGGGUCAAGACGACUAAGAGAGGCAGCAGUGGGGAAUAUUGGGCAAUGGGCGGAAACAUGAUCCAGCCAUACCGAGUGGGUGAAGAAGGCCUUCGGGUUGUAAAGCCCUUUUGUGGGGAAAGAAAAGCAGCAGGUUAAUACCCCGCUGUUGUGACGGUACCCAAAGAAUAAGCACCGGCUAACUUCGUG